This 534-nucleotide long non-coding RNA is filed under the name Linum usitatissimum (flax). RNAcentral describes it as "long non-coding RNA (LUSI_LNC003117)". Lineage: Eukaryota; Viridiplantae; Streptophyta; Magnoliopsida; Malpighiales; Linaceae. The record is from RNAcentral.
CCCUUGUUAAUUUCUCGCAGCUUACACUUUCUCGCUAUUGGCUUUUCCUAUAAUAGUAAUGAUAGUUUUCGUGGGAAGAGCGUCAGUCCUAAGGUUUCGUAGAUGGAGUACCCCUUAUAGUGUGAGUGCUAGGCAUUAAAUCUCCUUAAGUAAUUCCCGUGAGUUUGUGGCCAUUGAGACCCAUGAAGCACUAUUUCAAAGACGUUCAAGGAAAGUCCUAAUACAGGCCAGAAUCUUAGUAGCGAGGGGAUUGACGCUAUUUCACUCUUCUUCCAAAGCAAAGAGAUCGGAAAGUUUCGUCAAGCUAGAAGAUUUUUUCGCAGAUAGAUCCAUGGUUUAGCCUCUUAGGGGCCAUUUCUCCAGAUCGUGAGUUCGCUUUUUUCUAUCCCUGGAAAAAAGAAGAGAAGGAUCCGCAGCAUUUUCCAAAAACGCUUUCCUCGGAGUCUAAGGGGAAUUGAAAGAAAGAUAGGCUCGCAUACAUUCCCUCUGGGCGUCGGAAUUGCCUUUCUUUGAGAACAUAUAAAGUAGUUCUAA